This 468-nucleotide ribosomal RNA is filed under the name uncultured bacterium. RNAcentral describes it as "partial 16S ribosomal RNA". It matches the Rfam family "Bacterial small subunit ribosomal RNA", at positions 28 to 507 of the family's 1533-position model. The record is from RNAcentral.
GACGAACGCUGGCGGCGUGCUUAACACAUGCAAGUCGAACGGAAAGGCCCUGCUUUUGUGUGGUGCUCGAGUGGCGAACGGGUGAGUAACACGUGAGUAACCUGCCCUUGACUUUGGGAUAACUUCAGGAAACUGGGGCUAAUACCGGAUAGGAGCUCCUGCUGCAUGGUGGGGGUUGGAAAGUUUCGGCGGUUUGGGAUGGACGCGCGGCUUAUCAGCUUGUUGGGGGGGUAGUGGCUUACCAAGGCUUUGACGGGUAGCCGGCCUGAGAGGGGGACCAGGGACAUUAGGACUGCGGUAGGGACCAGUGGGGAACGGGGGGCAGCAGGGGGAAGUAUGGCACAGUGAGCGGAAGUGUGAGACAGAGGCGUCGGGUGCGGAAAGACGGUCUACGGGGUAUAAAGCGAGUUAGCCUGUGACGAUGCGUGAGUGACGGUAAUGGGUAAAGAAGCACCGGCUAACUACGUG